This 512-nucleotide ribosomal RNA is filed under the name Meandrusa sciron. RNAcentral's name for it is "partial 16S ribosomal RNA". Lineage: Eukaryota; Metazoa; Arthropoda; Insecta; Lepidoptera; Papilionidae. The record is from RNAcentral.
GUYUUUUUGAUAAUAAUUUAAAGUUUAAUYUGCCCACUGAUAUAAAAUUAAAGGGCUGCAGUAUUUUGACUGUACAAAGGUAGCAUAAUCAAUAGUCUUUUAAUUGAUGACUUGUAUGAAAGAUUGGAUGAAAUAUAAACUGUCUUUUUUUAAUUUAUGAAAUUUAAUUUUUUAGUCAAAAAGCUAAAAUAAAUUUAAAAGACGAGAAGACCCUAUAGAGUUUAAUAAUUUAUUUAAUUAUUAUUUUUAUGGUUAUUUUUAUUAAAAAUAUUAAAUAAAUUAUUUUAUUGGGGUGAUAGAAAAAUUAAAAAAACUUUUUUUAUAAUUAUACAUAAAUAAAUGAGUAAAUGAUCCAUUAAUAAUGAUUACAAGAAAAAAUUACCUUAGGGAUAACAGCGUAAUUUUUUUUUUUAGUACAAAUAAGAAAAAGAGUUUGCGACCUCGAUGUUGGAUUAAGAUAAAAUUUAAACGCAAAAGUUUAAAAUUUUGAUCUGUUCGAUCAUUAAAAUCUU